RNAcentral lists this ribosomal RNA (449 nucleotides) under uncultured bacterium. Its description in RNAcentral is "partial 16S ribosomal RNA". It matches the Rfam family "Bacterial small subunit ribosomal RNA", at positions 29 to 523 of the family's 1533-position model. The record is from RNAcentral.
AAUGAACGCUGGCGGCAUGCCUAACACAUGCAAGUCGAACGAAGGCUUCGGCCUUAGUGGCGCACGGGUGCGUAACGCGUGGGAAUCUGCCCUUGGGUUCGGAAUAACAGUUAGAAAUGACUGCUAAUACCGGAUGAUGUCGUAAGACCAAAGAUUUAUCGCCCAAGGAUGAGCCCGCGUAGGAUUAGCUAGUUGGUGGGGUAAAGGCCCAACAAGGCGACGAUCCUUAGCUGGUCUGAGAGGAUGAUCAGCCACACUGGGACUGAGACACGGCCCAGACUCCUACGGGAGGCAGCAGUGGGGAAUAUUGGACAAUGGGCGAAAGCCUGAUCCAGCAAUGCCGCGUGAGUGAUGAAGGCCUUAGGGUUGUAAAGCUCUUUUACCCGGGAUGAUAAUGACAGUACCGGGAGAAUAAGCUCUGGCUAACUUCGUGCCAGCCGCCGCCGUAA